Molecule: long non-coding RNA, 228 nt
Organism: Pieris rapae (cabbage white)
Lineage: Eukaryota; Metazoa; Arthropoda; Insecta; Lepidoptera; Pieridae
Exons: 2
Source: RefSeq, a predicted model, not a curated record
CUGUUCCGAGUGUUAGAUUUCAACUUUUAUACAAGAGGUGUGUACAGCUAUUAUAGAAGGAUUAAAAUAAUACAUCAAGAUGCCGUCAGGAGUAACAGAAUGGAAACAAGUUGCAAAAGAUUUCGAGGGAAGAAGUUCAAUUUAUCAAUCGAUAUGAUACAUACGUAAUACAGAGAUAUGUACAUUUAUAAUGACUAAAAUAUUUUAUUAAAGAUACUUACGUUAGAA